Molecule: ribosomal RNA, 563 nt
Filed under: uncultured bacterium
Lineage: Bacteria
Description: bacterial SSU rRNA
Rfam family: Bacterial small subunit ribosomal RNA
Source: RNAcentral
UUGCUGGUGGAUUAGUGGCGAACGGGUGAGUAACACGUGAGCAACCUGCCCCUGACUUCGGGAUAACCGCGGGAAACCGUGGCUAAUACCGGAUAUGACGCGCUAUCGCAUGGUGGUGUGUGGAAAGAUUUAUCGGUUGGGGAUGGGCUCGCGGCCUAUCAGCUUGUUGGNGGGGUGAUGGCCUACCAAGGCGACGACGGGUAGCCGGCCUGAGAGGGUGACCGGCCACACUGGGACUGAGACACGGCCCANACUCCUACGGGAGGCAGCAGUGGGGAAUAUUGCACAAUGGGCGCAAGCCUGAUGCAGCGACGCCGCGUGAGGNAUGACGGCCUUCGGGUUGUAAACCUCUUUCAGUAGGGAAGAAGGCCUUCGGGUUGACGGUACCUGCANAANAAGCGCCGGCUAACUACGUGCCAGCAGCCGCGGUAAUACGUAGGGCGCAAGCGUUGUCCGGAAUUAUUGGGCGUAAAGAGCUCGUAGGCGGUUUGUCGCGUCUGCUGUGAAAACGCGAGGCUUAACCUCGCGCCUGCAGUGGGUACGGGCAGACUAGAGUGCGGUAG